CAUAUUCUCCUGCUGGUUCCACAAACUGCAGCGCAGACGAGCCUCAACCGCAAAACAACAAACACUCAUUCAGGUUUUACUCACUCUCACUGGACUGAUUACUACAUUUCAAACAUUUUGAUCUCUGUCAGCUAAACUAACUGGCUACAGGAUGAACUGCUGACUAGCUUCUUAGCUAACUGCUGCUAAAACCUCAAUGUCUCCUUUUUUACAUCUAUGAUUCUACACCAGAUCAAUUAACAACACACAACAUGUGAAGACUAAACGCAGGAUCUCUCUCUGCACUGGACACAGAGAUGAACGUGACUUAUAAUAAUCUUUAUUUUUCUUCCAUCUGAAAUAUUUGGAGAAGAUAGAACAAGAUGAUUUAAAUAUUUGAAUCUCACACUGAAUUAUCAAGAUUCAAAUCAGCAAAUAGUCUAAGUAUAUGUCUUACAACCAAACCAACCACAGACCAACUGGUAAUAAAAGAUUAGACUGGAUCAUCUUGAUUUCAUCCUGUCAAAACUUUGGACGUUUGACCGUAAACUCAAACAAUUUAACAAUCUGUGUUUAUUUCUUAUGUAAGUUAAUAAUAAAAUAAAAGUUUACCUUUA
Long non-coding RNA from Sander lucioperca (pikeperch), 596 nucleotides. RefSeq lists it as uncharacterized. NCBI's taxonomy places the organism in Eukaryota, Metazoa, Chordata, Actinopteri, Perciformes, Percidae. The transcript is spliced from 2 exons. The record is from RefSeq and is a predicted model, not a curated record.